GCCGAAAAUAGCUCAGUUGGAAGCGUUAGACUGAAGAUCUAAGGUCCCUGGUUCAAUCCCGGGUUUUCGGCA
This 72-nucleotide transfer RNA is filed under the name Trichonephila inaurata madagascariensis. RNAcentral's name for it is "tRNA-Phe". It matches the Rfam family "tRNA". Rfam says of the family: Transfer RNA (tRNA) molecules are approximately 80 nucleotides in length. Their secondary structure includes four short double-helical elements and three loops (D, anti-codon, and T loops). The record is from RNAcentral. Lineage: Eukaryota; Metazoa; Arthropoda; Arachnida; Araneae; Nephilidae.